This 2205-nucleotide ribosomal RNA is filed under the name Trimerotropis sp. BYU-IGC-OR186. RNAcentral describes it as "eukaryotic LSU rRNA". It matches the Rfam family "Eukaryotic large subunit ribosomal RNA", at positions 25 to 1902 of the family's 3401-position model. Lineage: Eukaryota; Metazoa; Arthropoda; Insecta; Orthoptera; Acrididae. The record is from RNAcentral.
CCGCGUAAUUUAGGCAUAUUAUAAGCGGAGGAAAAGAAACUAACAAGGAUUCCCCCAGUAGCGGCGAGCGACAGGGAAGAGUCCAGCACCGAACCCCGCAGUGGCCUGUCGGCAUGUGUGUUUGGGAGGGUCCACUACCCGCGCGGAGUCCAAUCCAACUUGAAUGAGGCCCGGCCCGUAGAGGGUCCAGGCCCGUAGCGGCCGGUGGAGCGUCGGCGGGACCUCUCCUUCGAGCGGUGCUUGAGAGUGCAGCUCCAAGUGGGUGGUAAACUCCAUCUGAGACUAAAUAUGACCACGAGACCGAUAGCGAACAAGUACCGUGAGGGAAAGUGAAAAGAACUUUGAAGAGAGAGUUCAAAAGUACGUGAACUUCUGGGGUAAACGUGAGAAGUCCGAAAGGUCGAACGGGUGAGAUUCACGCCCAUCCGCCACUGCCCCCCUCGCAGAUGGGGCCGGCCGCCCGCGGGAGCAAUCCGCGCGGGGUCGUGUCCGGUUGCCUUUCACUCGCCGCGGGGUGGGGCCGUUCCAGUGUGCGUGGGCCGCACUUCUCCCUAGUAGGACGUCGGACCCUGGGUGCCGGCUACGGCCGGGUGCGCAGCCUGUCCUUCCGCGGGCCUCGUUACGUAUGUUGGGCAGAGCCCGUGAGAGACUGGACUCGGCGGUACAUCUGAGGAGUCGAUUCGCCCUUUGGGCCCCGGGCCCCCCAGCCGCGGUUCUUCCGAGACACUAUGACGGCCGGACCGCGCCCCCGGCUGGGAUGCUCUGGGGGAAUAAUCCUCGUCAGGGCGCUUCAGCUUUGCAAUUUCACGGUCAUGAASCACGGASCAAGGAGUCUAACAUGUGCGCGAGUCAUURGRCUGUACGAAACCUAAAGGCGUAAUGAAAGUGAAGGUCUCGCCUUGCGCGGGCCGAGGGAGGAUGGGGCUUCCCCGCCCUUCACGGGGCGGCGGCCUCCGCACUCCCGGGGCGUCUCGUCCUCAUUGCGAGGUGAGGCGCACCUAGAGCGUACACGUUGGGACCCGAAAGAUGGUGAACUAUGCCUGGCCAGGACGAAGUCAGGGGAAACCCUGAUGGAGGUCCGUAGCGAUUCUGACGUGCAAAUCGAUCGUCGGAGCUGGGUAUAGGGGCGAAAGACUAAUCGAACCAUCUAGUAGCUGGUUCCCUCCGAAGUUUCCCUCAGGAUAGCUGGUGCUCGUACGAGUCUCAUCCGGUAAAGCGAAUGAUUAGAGGCCUUGGGGCCGAAACGACCUCAACCUAUUCUCAAACUUUAAAUGGGUGAGAUCUCCGGCUUGCUUGAUAUGCUGAAGCCGCGAGCAAACGACUCGGAUCGGAGUGCCAAGUGGGCCACUUUUGGUAAGCAGAACUGGCGCUGUGGGAUGAACCAAACGCCGAGUUAAGGCGCCCGAAUCGACGCUCAUGGGAAACCAUGAAAGGCGUUGGUUGCUUAAGACAGCAGGACGGUGGCCAUGGAAGUCGGAAUCCGCUAAGGAGUGUGUAACAACUCACCUGCCGAAGCAACUAGCCCUGAAAAUGGAUGGCGCUGAAGCGUCGUGCCUAUACUCGGCCGUCAGUCUGGCAGUCAUGGCCGGUCCUCGCGGCCGGCCGCGAAGCCCUGACGAGUAGGAGGGUCGCGGCGGUGGGCGCAGAAGGGUCUGGGCGUGAGCCUGCCUGGAGCCGCCGUCGGUGCAGAUCUUGGUGGUAGUAGCAAAUACUCCAGCGAGGCCCUGGAGGGCUGACGCGGAGAAGGGUUUCGUGUGAACAGCCGUUGCACACGAGUCAGUCGAUCCUAAGCCCUAGGAGAAAUCCGAUGUCGAUGGGGGCCGUCAUAGCAUGAUGCCUAUUUGUGCUGGCCCCCGUUGGGCGAAAGGGAAUCCGGUUCCUAUUCCGGAACCCGGCAGCGGAACCGAUACAAGUCGGGCCCCUCUUUUAGAGAUGCUCGUCGGGGUAACCCAAAAGGACCCGGAGACGCCGUCGGGAGAUCGGGGAAGAGUUUUCUUUUCUGCAUGAGCGUUCGAGUUCCCUGGAAUCCUCUAGCAGGGAGAUAGGGUUUGGAACGCGAAGAGCACCGCAGUUGCGGCGGUGUCCCGAUCUUCCCCUCGGACCUUGAAAAUCCGGGAGAGGGCCACGUGGAGGUGUCGCGCCGGUUCGUACCCAUAUCCGCAGCAGGUCUCCAAGGUGAAGAGCCUCUAGUCGAUAGAAUAAUGU